RNAcentral lists this transfer RNA (74 nucleotides) under Podarcis lilfordi (Lilford's wall lizard). RNAcentral's name for it is "tRNA.Val". The stretch from base 8 to 66 matches the Rfam family "tRNA", at positions 8 to 63 of the family's 71-position model. From Rfam's summary of the family: Transfer RNA (tRNA) molecules are approximately 80 nucleotides in length. Their secondary structure includes four short double-helical elements and three loops (D, anti-codon, and T loops). Further hydrogen bonds mediate the characteristic L-shaped molecular structure. tRNAs have two regions of fundamental functional importance: the anti-codon, which is responsible for specific mRNA codon recognition, and the 3' end, to which the tRNAs corresponding amino acid is attached (by aminoacyl-tRNA synthetases). tRNAs cope with the degeneracy of the genetic code in two manners: having more than one tRNA (with a specific anti-codon) for a particular amino acid; and 'wobble' base-pairing, i.e. permitting non-standard base-pairing at the 3rd anti-codon position. Lineage: Eukaryota; Metazoa; Chordata; Lepidosauria; Squamata; Lacertidae. The record is from RNAcentral.
ACCUGGAUAGCUCAGUUGGUUAGAGCAUAGUGCUGACAAUGCUAAGGUUAUAGGUUCAAUCCCUGUAUUGGAAA